CAUGGCCCUUACGAGUAGGGCUACACACGUGCUACAAUGGCGCAUACAGAGGGCAGCCAACUUGCGAAAGUGAGCGAAUCCCAAAAAGUGCGUCGUAGUCCGGAUUGGAGUCUGCAACUCGACUCCAUGAAGUCGGAAUCGCUAGUAAUCGUAGAUCAGAAUGCUACGGUGAAUACGUUCCCGGGCCUUGUACACACCGCCCGUCACACCAUGGGAGUGGGCUGCAAAAGAAGUGGGUAGUUUAACCUUCGGGAGGACGCUCACCACUUUGUGGUUCAUGACUGGGGUGAAGUCGUAACAAGGUAGCCCUAGGGGAACCUGGGGCUGGAUCACCUCCUUAUACGAA
This 346-nucleotide ribosomal RNA is filed under the name Vibrio mediterranei. RNAcentral describes it as "bacterial SSU rRNA". It matches the Rfam family "Bacterial small subunit ribosomal RNA", at positions 1194 to 1533 of the family's 1533-position model. The record is from RNAcentral. Lineage: Bacteria; Pseudomonadati; Pseudomonadota; Gammaproteobacteria; Vibrionales; Vibrionaceae.